CAGCCCUAGCCUCAAUCCACAGCCGCCAUGCCCUCACUCCUCCUCCUCGCUACCACUCCCUUCCUGCUCCUCCUCGCGGCCGCACUCUCUCCCUCCUCACCACGGCACCCAUAGGCGGCUCCCUCCUCACCAUGGCCCCACCAUAGGCGGCUCCCUCCUCACCAUGGCCCCACCAUAGGCGGCUCCCUCCUCACCAUGGCCCCACCAUAGGCGGCUCAUGCGGUGGUGGAACGGACGGCGGCCUCAGCGUGUGGGCGGCGGCGGCGGCGUAUCUGGUGAACGAGCCCGCACCUCCCUGCCCUCCUCAUCACCCCUUCCCUCCUCGGCUUAAUGGGAGGUUCGCCGGGCAUGCCGCCUCUUCUGCCCAGCAGGACGAGCACGAGCUUUUCAUGUUGUCUCAACUCUCAAUGCAGUGUAGAAGUUGAUUGAGAUGCCUCUCUGAAUCUCUGAUAUGAUGUUUUGCUUCCUCUGAAAUAGUGAUCAGAAUGUAAAUUUUCAAGGAAAAUACCAUUCGGUUCAUACUAAGAAAUUGGCAAGAUUUAGUUACAUGGAUAUCAAAUUUUAAGACUAAGCUUCGCUCAAUCCAUCUCUCUCUCUGUUGCCUACCGCCACACGCGGAUGGUAGUGGUUCAGUUUCCUGUAACAUUUAGCAUCUCUACAUUUUAAUCCUGUAUAGCUGGAUCCAAAAAAAAAUAUAGAGGUCAAGGUCUAUUUAGUAUUAGUUUGAUGGCUUAAUUUGCAAGAGAAAUGAAGUGUAUAGUUUAUGAUUCUUAAUUUUUCUUCAGUUGUUUUUGGUUGAAUUGCUUACCUAGGCAUUCGUAUUUUGUUACACGAAUCUGCAGUAUGCUCUUAUGCUUUUAGCCAUACCCAUCUCAUUUUGUUUUUUGGUAUAAUUGCCUACCUAGGCAUAAAAAUGGGAUCUGCACACGUCUUAUUUAGAUCCCUGGGUUCUCAGCCAUGUUGACUUCUGAAUAGUUAUUCAUUGAUGUUUUCUUAUGUUCUUUUGUUAGCACAUGUGCAUUAGUUAGGUAUGCAUGUAUGUAAGGAAAAUUUGUUAGCGAUGAUUCAGUUGUUUUGGUUCAGUUUGAAGGGCACUCCAGGCUUAAGAUCUUUAGUUUCAUUAGAACUACCAAUUACUUUGCUUAGCUGCCUUGCCGCUGGUGGCAGGUUUUACUUUGUGAGGUGUAGGUUCUGCUGCCGGUGACACCUCAUGAGUUUCUUUUUAAUUUGAAUUAGUAAUCACACAAUUGAAUUUAUAUUUCUAUCAGCAUAAUUUCAUGUCCCCUUUCCUAUUUUCUGCAGGUACACAUGAAUCUAUGAUCCAGAUUCUAGCUACACCCUUUACUACAACGAUCUCAAGCUUUACUGAAAAGUGUACUGUUUAUAUAGUUGAUAUCUUUAAUUCAUAUGGUCGUCCGCUGGAUGAUCACUGGUCUUCGGUUCAUACGGUGACUGGCUGGAAGCUUGCUGUUAUGUUUGGUUCAUAUGGUGGUCGACUGGAAGCUCGCAGUCUGAAUGAUCUCAUUGUCUAUGGCCGCCAAUACACACUUUUCAUUACUACCAGCCAGGGGUUCACGGGCCAUCAUGAUGAUAUACUUGGUUCUUUAAAGAAGAAUGGUAAGAACUAAGGAGGGUUGUCUUGUCCAAGAGCUCUACCGCGAUGGCAUCGCCACUCAGUGAUGCCUCAGCAGGAAGGCUAAUCACGGGGAGGCGUGACAUGGGUGGACUAAAAAGCUAAUUUGGUGCCCUCUCUCUUUGCCUCUUGUUUCCUCCAGCACCUUGAUUUUGAUGGUUAAUAUAUUGAAUUUCUAAACAUCUUUAAUUUAUAAGGAAUAUAGUAGUUAUAUGCUUUUCAUUUAUGAUAGAGAGAUUGAACCUAGGUGUCUUGCUUGCUGGUUUGCAGGAGGCCCCCCUGUCUGCUGUCAAAUGUGGAACGCCUUUAUGUCCUGAUCAUGUGAAAAGGUACCCUGUUGCAGUUUCUCUGUCUUCACGAAUUACUAUCGAACUGUAAGCCUGUUCUGAACUCUAAGCCCCAUGUAAAUCUGAUGGAAGAUUGGGCCAUUUAAUUUGAACCAAAAGGGUAAUAUACUCUCGAUUGCUUGAAUCUGUCCAGACCUGAAAAAUAUAUAUACUUUGAAAGCUUGAAAUAUGAGUAUGUAACUGAAGUAGUAGACAUUUCUUGUUCUUGGUCGUCACAGUUUUUGUUUAUUCCAUUAAAAAGAGAUGGAUUACAAUUACUUGACACACACACCCACACCCGGGCACAAGGUCUGUUAGUCCUUUAAAUUGAUUAUAUAUGACAUAAAAAGAGGCUGGAGCAUAGAUUGGGGUGACAUAAAUAUAUGAAUUGUUCAGAAAAUAACAAAUGGAACUCCUGGACACUGCCACCUCUGCAUCCACCUUGCUCCGCAUAGCAGCAUGUGUGUGAAAGCGGGGACAGGUGACCACGAGCAGAUGGCGUGAGCGGCAACGGCAACAUGCACGGUGCACAAAGUUCGGUAAGAUGGGCGUGACCUCCCCGUAGGCGUUUUAGGAUGGCGUGUAUAACGGCUUGGAACGUGCCUGCCCGACACACAGAAGGUAUGCCUCGGAGCACGCCGGCGGCAACAUGCACUGCGAGGCCCAAAGCAACCCAGCCAGUACAGAGCCCCUCCGUACAUGAGGAACCCUGCCACCGAGGGAGCAAGCAACGGCGACGCGUAUGAGAGCUCAGCCAUGGUGGCCCGCGCGCCGUACGGGAGGAUCACGUUCGUGCUAGAGGGAAGCAACGAGCACAUCGGCGGCAAAAGGAGGUGUCCAGGAUCUGCACCGACACAAGGUGUCUCCGCAUAGCAGCAUGUGUGCGGCGGCAUGGACAGGUAACCACAUGCAGAUUUUGAGGAGCGGCACGAGCAUCAAGCAAUGGUUGAUGCCAAGGGAUUAUAGCAAGCAACUCUAGGUGGGUGAGUUCUUUCUUCUUGCAUGAAAUUGUUCUACUGAUUCCUCAAUGCUCUGUUCAUGACUUUGUUCUUGUUUUAUCCUUUUUUUACUUUCCAAUUUCGAUGCAAUGGAUAUUGAUUGUGGUAGUUUAGAUAGCACCUUGUAUUGCUUUGGUUUUAAUAAAGUAAACUAGAGCA
Long non-coding RNA from Triticum aestivum (bread wheat), 3116 nucleotides. RefSeq lists it as uncharacterized. NCBI's taxonomy places the organism in Eukaryota, Viridiplantae, Streptophyta, Magnoliopsida, Poales, Poaceae. The transcript is spliced from 4 exons. The record is from RefSeq and is a predicted model, not a curated record.